RNAcentral lists this long non-coding RNA (1256 nucleotides) under Oryctolagus cuniculus (rabbit). Its description in RNAcentral is "lncRNA (ENSOCUG00000036350.1)". Lineage: Eukaryota; Metazoa; Chordata; Mammalia; Lagomorpha; Leporidae. The record is from RNAcentral.
GCACAGGUUCCUCUCCUUGCCUGGAGCUGGCAUGCAGUUCAAGAGUCAUGGAAUAGUCUGUUUCACAAAGCCCUGUGUUCCAGCUUUCUCCUUCAGAUCUGUGGCCUCCACUCAGCGAAGUUCCAGACAGAAGGACCAGGCUGUGGGGCAGAGGCACUUACCGUAGUCACACUGACAACAGAGCUCCCUCUGCCCAGCGGGCGUCACCAUUGCCUUUCAGAGCCCUGUGGGCUCCCGACAAGAGGGCAGAUCAGUUGUGGUGCAAAUGGAUAUUUAACUCUGAAAAAUGUCAAAGAAAAGGCAACGAAAAGCCUCCACAGACUUGGAUCUGCCCUGCAAGGAUGUGUGUAUUCGCUUUUGCUAAUCACACGGAAGUCAGUCAAACAGCUGGCCACCAGCAUCUCCCAGCCCUGCACAAACAGCAGUGAGUGUGGGUGAGGGGGAAGCUGUUACAGCCCUCAGAUAAAGCAAUUUCCAUCUAGUAUUUAAUUUGCAAAACUGGCGACUCAGAGAAAGUUCUUGAGUGUCUCUUGAUGCCUUUUGCUAGAACUGAAAAUGAGCUCAGAGAUUCUAGGUCCAGAAAGGAAACAGGUGAGGACUCCUCUUUACCGGGUCCUUAGCCAAAGUCCCCACCCCAGGAGACCUUUGUUCUGGUCAGCCCGGUUGUGCACACAGAGCUCCCCAAAGUUCAGCAUUCCAGUCUCCAUGGCGAACCCGUUACAAUGAGUGUGAAACUGGAAUCUGUUUUCCUGCCCAGAGCAAGCCCAACGUGCUAGCUUUAUAAUAUAGAGAGUCUGUCUCAUAUCCACUGCAGAAAUCCUUAAGAUACUGACCAUUUAUACAGUCUUCCUUUGGUGCCUUCAGGUUGGCAUCUACAAAGUCAACCAACCACGAAUCCAAUAUAGUCUGAGGAUAGAGUAUUCAUUAUUGCUGACUUGCAACUACGUCAUUAGCCUACCAUGGUUGUGCCACACUGAACACUUCUUUUUUCUUGCCCUCACUCCAUAAAGAAAUUGGUGUAACCUCCACUUACACAAUGUGCACAUUGCAUCGGGCAUUGCAAUCACCAGGACAUGAUUUAAAGCAGCAGGGAGGAAGUGUGUAGGCUCUAUGCAAAUACUGUACCGUUUUCUAGGAGGGGCUUGAACAUCCUGGGAUUCUGGUCCCUGCAGGGGUCCUGGAAUCAGUCCCCUGUGGCUAGGAAGGGAGCACAGCACUAGGCAAGGCAUAGCACAGUGCCAGCUGUGGGAAGCGGC